AUCUGAAACUAGAGCUCAAAAUUUGAAAAAAAUGUCAAAAAAAUUAGGGGGUCGGCCUAUUCUAGGACUUCUAGAGAAAAAUAAUGAGGGUGUCACGGGGAAUGACUAUAUAGGUCUUGUAGAGGAGAAACAGGCGCUUCUUUUGCGCUAGGUAUCGAAGGGCGCUAUGUUCAAAAAUCUGAAACUAGAGCUCAAAAUUUGAAAAAAAUGUCAAAAAAUUAGGGGGGUCGGCCUAUUCUAGGACUUCUAGAGAAAAAUAAUGAGGGGUGUCACGGGGUAUGACUAUAUAGGUCUUGUAGAGAGAAACAGGCGCUUCUUUUGCACUAGGUAUCGAAGGGCGCUAUGUUCAAAAAUCUGAAACUAGAGCUCAAAAUUCGAAAAAAAUGUCAAAAAAUGGGGGUAGGGUCGGCCUAUUCCAGGAGUUCUAGAGAAAAAUAAUGAGGGGUGUCACGGGGA
RNAcentral lists this long non-coding RNA (456 nucleotides) under Mytilus galloprovincialis (Mediterranean mussel). Lineage: Eukaryota; Metazoa; Mollusca; Bivalvia; Mytilida; Mytilidae. The record is from RNAcentral.